GCCGCUUCAGCUUUAACGUGUAGCUUCUUUUUCUCAAAAAAAGUUGUUCCGUAUUUUUUUUUACAAAACUACCAAAACAUUAAAGAUCAUACAGUUUUUGGAGGGACGAAAAGCUCUUAGGUAGCAUAACCUAUCCGCCUAGGGUAUAUAACAAUAGGAUUAGGAGAACCCAACUUUAUUCGUUAACAUCCAUGGUCGAAUCCAAAUAGGGUUGAAUCUCAUUGG
RNAcentral lists this long non-coding RNA (225 nucleotides) under Lupinus angustifolius (narrow-leaved blue lupine). Its description in RNAcentral is "long non-coding RNA (LANG_LNC001606)". The record is from RNAcentral. Lineage: Eukaryota; Viridiplantae; Streptophyta; Magnoliopsida; Fabales; Fabaceae.